UUGGAGGGCAAGUCUGGUGCCAGCAGCCGCGGUAAUUCCAGCUCCAAUAGCGUAUAUUAAAGUUGUUGCAGUUAAAAAGCUCGUAGUUGAAUUUCGGGAUUCAUCCGUCGGUCGGGCUUUUGGGUCUGUACUGGCGUGAUAGAUUCCUACCUUCUGAAUAACCGGCAUGUCAUUAAUUUGGUGCGCCGGGGAAGCAGGACUGUUACCUUGAAAAAAUUAGAGUGCUUAAAGCAGGCUUAUGCCUGAAUACAUUAGCAUGGAAUAAUGAAAUAGGACGGCAUGGUUCUAUUUUGUUGGUUUCUAGGAUCACCGUAAUGAUUAAUAGGGAUAGUUGGGGGCAUUAGUAUUUAAUUGUCAGAGGUGAAAUUCUUGGAUUUAUUAAAGACUAACUUCUGCGAAAGCAUUUGCCAAGGAUGUUUUCAUUAAUCAAGAACGAAAGUUAGGGGAUCGAAGACGAUCAGAUACCGUCGUAGUCUUAACCAUAAACUAUGCCGACUAGGGAUCGGACGAUGUUAAUUUUUUAAUGACUCGUUCGGCGCCUUACGGGAAAC
This 551-nucleotide ribosomal RNA is filed under the name uncultured Acaulospora. RNAcentral describes it as "SSU rRNA". It matches the Rfam family "Eukaryotic small subunit ribosomal RNA", at positions 548 to 1098 of the family's 1831-position model. The record is from RNAcentral. Lineage: Eukaryota; Fungi; Glomeromycota; Glomeromycetes; Diversisporales; Acaulosporaceae.